Molecule: ribosomal RNA, 253 nt
Filed under: uncultured bacterium
Lineage: Bacteria
Description: partial 16S ribosomal RNA
Rfam family: Bacterial small subunit ribosomal RNA
Source: RNAcentral
UACAGAGGGUGCGAGCGUUAAUCGGAAUUACUGGGCGUAAAGCGUGCGUAGACGGUUAUUUAAGUCGGGUGUGAAAGCCCCGGGCUCAACCUGGGAAUUGCAUUCGAGACUGAAUAGCUAGGGUACGGUAGAGGGAAGCGGAAUUUCCGGUGUAGCGGUGAAAUGCGUAGAUAUCGGAAGGAACACCAGUGGCGAAGGCGGCUUACUGGUCCGGUUCUGACGCUGAGGCGCGAAAGCGUGGGGAGCAAACAGG